GAGCACGGUGGCACGUGCCUGUAGUCCCAGCUACUUGGAAGGCUGAGGCUGAAGGAUCGCUUGAGCCCAGGAGUUCUGGGCUGUAGUGCGCUAUGCCAAUCGGGUGUCUGCACUAAGUUUGGCAUCAAUAUGGUGACCUCCCAGGAGCGGGGGACCACCAGGUUGCCUAAGGAAGAGUGAACUUACCCAGGCUGGAAAUAGAGCAGGUCAAAAGUCCCGUGUUGAUCAGUAGUGGGAUGGCACCUGUGAAUAGCCACUGCACUCCAGCCUGGGCAACAUAGCGAGACCAUGUCUCA
This 296-nucleotide signal recognition particle RNA is filed under the name Aotus nancymaae (Ma's night monkey). Its description in RNAcentral is "Metazoan signal recognition particle RNA (ENSANAG00000013803.1)". It matches the Rfam family "Metazoan signal recognition particle RNA". From Rfam's summary of the family: The signal recognition particle (SRP) is a universally conserved ribonucleoprotein. It is involved in the co-translational targeting of proteins to membranes. Lineage: Eukaryota; Metazoa; Chordata; Mammalia; Primates; Aotidae. The record is from RNAcentral.